GAGUGCGCAGGCGGUUUUGCAAGACCGAUGUGAAAUCCCCGGGCUUAACCUGGGAACUGCAUUGGUGACUGCAAGGCUAGAGUGUGUCAGAGGGAGGUGGAAUUCCGCAUGUAGCAGUGAAAUGCGUAGAUAUGCGGAGGAACACCGAUGGCGAAGGCAGCCUCCUGGGAUAACACUGACGCUCAUGCACGAAAGCGUGGGGAGCAAACAGGAUUAGAUACCCUGGUAGUCCACGCCCUAAACGAUGUCUACUAGUUGUCGGGGAUUAAUUUCCUUGGUAACGCAGCUAACGCGUGAAGUAGACCGCCUGGGGAGUACGGUCGCAAGAUUAAAACUCAAAGGAAUUGACGGGGACCCGCACAAGCGGUGGAUGAUGUGGAUUAAUUCGAUGCAACGCGAAAAACCUUACCUACGCUUGACAUGUCCGGAACCCUGAAGAGAUUUGGGGGUGCUCGAAAGAGAGCCGGAACACAGGUGCUGCAUGGCUGUCGUCAGCUCGUGUCGUGAG
RNAcentral lists this ribosomal RNA (508 nucleotides) under uncultured bacterium. RNAcentral describes it as "bacterial SSU rRNA". It matches the Rfam family "Bacterial small subunit ribosomal RNA", at positions 565 to 1071 of the family's 1533-position model. The record is from RNAcentral.